This 403-nucleotide ribosomal RNA is filed under the name uncultured bacterium. Its description in RNAcentral is "bacterial SSU rRNA". It matches the Rfam family "Bacterial small subunit ribosomal RNA", at positions 355 to 776 of the family's 1533-position model. The record is from RNAcentral.
UGGGGAAUAUUGCGCAAUGGGCGAAAGCCUGACGCAGCGACGCCGCGUGAGUGAAGAAGUCUUUCGGGAUGUAAAACUCUGUCAGGUGGGAAGAUAAUGACGGUACCACCAGAGGAAGCCCCGGCUAACUACGUGCCAGCAGCCGCGGUAAUACGUAGGGGGCGAGCGUUAUCCGGAUUCACUGGGCAUAAAGCGCGCGUAGGCGGUUUGCUAAGUCAGAUGUGAAAUGUCUCGGCUCAACCGAGGCCUGCAUUUGAAACUGGCGAACUAGAGAUAAGGAGAGGAAAGCGGAACUCACGGUGUAGCGGUGAAAUGCGUAGAUAUCGUGAGGAACAUCAGUUGCGAAGGCGGCUUUCUGGACUUAUUCUGACGCUGAGGCGCGAAAGCGUGGGGAGCAAACGGG